Long non-coding RNA from Antechinus flavipes (yellow-footed antechinus), 1046 nucleotides. RefSeq lists it as uncharacterized. NCBI's taxonomy places the organism in Eukaryota, Metazoa, Chordata, Mammalia, Dasyuromorphia, Dasyuridae. The transcript has 3 exons. The record is from RefSeq and is a predicted model, not a curated record.
UGGCAGUGUCUCUGAAUCUAGAUAGGUUGAUGCUGUGAUGGCAGAUAGCCAUUGCUGUGUGUUUUAAAGUUUGAUUUCAUUUGCGAGAAUUUUCUCUCUUCUGGGUAACACCUCGGGAUCACCCUCCCUUUAUGAUAAAGCACUUUAUUAGUUAUGUAAAUUGUUCAGUCACUUGAGGAAACUGAUUAAUUUAAUUUUAAUAAUGGUAAUGAUGGUGUUCAAAAUUCUUUUGACAGGCAGAAACUCAACCAUGAAUAUUCUCAGCAGUUCCUGACAUUGUUUCAGCAGUGGGAUCUGGAUAUUAAGAAAACUGAGGAAGAGGAAGCAAAAUUAGCUAAUAUAUUUCAACAACAACUAGAGAUUUUUCAACAAGCCAGAAUGAUUCGGAGCCAGAGACUGAAUGCGAUUAAACACCUAUAUGAACAGUUCUCAAAGAAUUUGGAAGACUUGGAAAAGAACCAAGCAAGCUUUUUUAUAGUUGCACAAGAGGAACUACAAGAAUAAAAGGCCAUGUAACCAAAGAAUAUUAUGAUAGACAUUGUAAGUAAUGUGGUAUAUUGUCAACUGAAAAAAUUAAGAUGAACUCAUUAUAUAUUUCUUUCAUCAAAUAAAAGAGUAUAUUAAAAUCACUUUUAAUGUAUUAAACAUUUCCUUUUGUAUCUCCUUUUCUGUAACAACAACAGCAAGUAUUGGCAAAGAAUUCAAAAAAUAUUUUUAAUGCAUGUUGUUCUUACGGCUCUUUGAAGAAAGAAUGUGGACCUCAGAAAUAUGGUACAGUUACAACCAUGAGCUAAAGGAAAUGCAGAUAUUUACUGUGACUUAAGAAAGAUGGUUUAAAAGAUUAUUUGUUGUUACAUGGCUUGUUUAUCAUUGCAAGAUCUUCUGUGUUAUAUUGACUGAAAAUGCCUCGAGGAGUAAUAAUAAAUAAUAAAUUAAAAUAUACACCCUUAAUUCCUUUUCAGGUCCUUUGGGAUUAGUGAAUUUUUCCUUACUGUUAUCGGUUAAAAACUCAUGGUUCCCAAUAAUAAAGAUUUAACUGAAUUUCA